This is a non-coding RNA of Amblyraja radiata (thorny skate), 75 nucleotides long. NCBI's taxonomy places the organism in Eukaryota, Metazoa, Chordata, Chondrichthyes, Rajiformes, Rajidae. The record is from the annotation of a RefSeq genome assembly.
GCCCGGCUAGCUCAGUCGGUAGAGCAUGAGACUCUUAAUCUCUCGUGGUCGUGGGUUCGAGCCCCACGUUGUGCA